Molecule: long non-coding RNA, 702 nt
Organism: Scatophagus argus
Lineage: Eukaryota; Metazoa; Chordata; Actinopteri; Scatophagidae
Exons: 4
Source: RefSeq, a predicted model, not a curated record
AGUCAGAACGGUAACCUAUUUAAUCUGGAAGCCACGCGUCACUCGCUCUUUUCACCCACUUUGUGCAGAUGGUGGAUGUUUAAGGCGUGGAAAUCAUCUUAAAUAUAAAAUGCAAAACAGCCUCGUUGGUUCAGAAAUCUCCACCGCCAUGCUCUGGUCGGAUCAUGUGCAGUGUGGCGGACACCUGUAUGAGCCAGAUGGAGGAUGAUGGCUGUGUUUGAGCUUCUGCAGAAAGUCUCAGUAAUGACAGUGCUGUUUCAACACAACAGUCUGCCAUAGCAGGAUGAUUACUUCUGAGAAAAGGGCUCCCGCUGUCUGCAUCAAGCCAUGUACAGAAAUUCUCAAGGUUGGAGAUGAACCUGGGGAGAUUUUUCAGCAGCUGUUUCAGCGACGCUCUUGCAGGUAAUAAGCAAGGCACUGAAAACACCUGAGGGAAGCUGGACCAAUGGGUUAUUUUUGUCCAGUUUCAUGUGAUGCCAAACAUACUCUUUGCUGUAUUUUAUCACUAGCAGUUUUUAAAUCUGCCAGCAGUUUUUCUUGCAUAUGACAAUGCUAUCAGUUGGCACGCUGUACAUGAACUAUGUCAAACUGAUGCUACUUUGUCUUUAAAGAAAUAGUUUUUCAGUAUGGAAGCAUUCUUGUAAAGUUUGAACUUUUAGCAUGAUGUUGAACCGUGUGAUUAAAGUUGAAAGUUAAAAUAAG